UCCAUCAAUCAAAAUUUUUUUGGAUUAAAUAAAAUUUUUUGAUUGGUCGAUUGAUGUGGCACUGCGCAGCGCAGCAGCGCAGUCGGGUUUAUAUAAACCCUAUCUGUGCCUAGGGUUUCUAGAGAUUGCCCCCCAUCCAGCAAAAGCUAGCCACCCCUCCUCUUCUCCACAUCCUCCCUAGUGCUCCCUCUCCCCUCUUCACGCCU
This 206-nucleotide long non-coding RNA is filed under the name Elaeis guineensis (African oil palm). Its description in RNAcentral is "long non-coding RNA (EGUI_LNC077368)". The record is from RNAcentral. Lineage: Eukaryota; Viridiplantae; Streptophyta; Magnoliopsida; Arecales; Arecaceae.